This 433-nucleotide ribosomal RNA is filed under the name uncultured bacterium. RNAcentral describes it as "partial 16S ribosomal RNA". It matches the Rfam family "Bacterial small subunit ribosomal RNA", at positions 29 to 507 of the family's 1533-position model. The record is from RNAcentral.
AACGAACGCUGGCGGCAUGCCUAACACAUGCAAGUCGAACGAGACCUUCGGGUCUAGUGGCGCACGGGUGCGUAACGCGUGGGAACCUGCCCUUAGGUUCGGAAUAACUCCCCGAAAGGGGUGCUAAUACCGGAUAAUGUCUUCGGACCAAAGAUUUAUCGCCUUUGGAUGGGCCCGCGUUGGAUUAGGUAGUUGGUAGGGUAAAAGCCUACCAAGGCGACGAUCCAUAGCUGGUCUGAGAGGAUGAUCAGCCACACUGGGACUGAGACACGGCCCAGACUCCUACGGGAGGGAGGAGUGGGGAAUAUUGGAACAUGGGCGAAAGCCUGAUCCAGCAAUGCCGCGUGAGUGAUGAAGGCCUUAGGGUUGUAAAGCUCUUUUACCCGGGAUGAUAAUGACAGUACCGGGAGAAUAAGCUCCGGCUAACUCCGUG